UCCGGGAACCGGGGCUCAUACCGGAUAUUUCUUUUCCUCGCAUGAGGAGAAGUGGAAAGAUGGCUUCGGCUAUCACUUACAGAUGGACCCGCGGCGCAUUAGCUAGUUGGUGAGGUAAUGGCUCACCAAGGCGACGAUGCGUAGCCGACCUGAGAGGGUGAUCGGCCACACUGGGACUGAGACACGGCCCAGACUCCUACGGGAGGCAGCAGUAGGGAAUCUUCCGCAAUGGACGAAAGUCGGGCGGAGCAACGCCGCGUGAGUGAAGAAGGUUUUCGGAUCGUAAAGCUCUGUUGUUAGGGAAGAACAAGUACCGUUCGGAUAGGGCGGUACCUUGACGGUACCUAACCAGAAAGCCACGGCUAACUACGUGCCAGCAGC
This 381-nucleotide ribosomal RNA is filed under the name Bacillus sp. ASHAL12. Its description in RNAcentral is "bacterial SSU rRNA". It matches the Rfam family "Bacterial small subunit ribosomal RNA", at positions 148 to 515 of the family's 1533-position model. The record is from RNAcentral. Lineage: Bacteria; Bacillati; Bacillota; Bacilli; Caryophanales; Bacillaceae.